Molecule: ribosomal RNA, 491 nt
Filed under: uncultured bacterium
Lineage: Bacteria
Description: partial 16S ribosomal RNA
Rfam family: Bacterial small subunit ribosomal RNA
Source: RNAcentral
AGUGAACGCUGGCGGUAGGCCUAACACAUGCAAGUCGAACGGCAGCACAGUAAGAGCUUGCUCUUACGGGUGGCGAGUGGCGGACGGGUGAGGAAUACAUCGGAAUCUACUUUUUCGUGGGGGAUAACGUAGGGAAACUUACGCUAAUACCGCAUACGACCUACGGGUGAAAGCAGGGGAUCUUCGGACCUUGCGCGAUUGAAUGAGCCGAUGUCGGAUUAGCUAGUUGGCGGGGUAAAGGCCCACCAAGGCGACGAUCCGUAGCUGGUCUGAGAGGAUGAAACGCCACACGGGAAAUGAGAAACGGUCCAGACUCCUAGGGGAGGCAGCAGUGGGGAAUUUUGGAAAAUGGGCGAAAGCCUGACCCAGCCAUACCGCGGGGGUGAAGAAGGCCUUCGGGUUGUAAAGCCCUUUUGUUGGGAAAAAAAAGAAGCAGGUUAAUACCCCGCUGUUCUGACGGUACCAAAAAAAUAAGCACCGGCUAACUUCGU